This 484-nucleotide ribosomal RNA is filed under the name uncultured bacterium. RNAcentral's name for it is "partial 16S ribosomal RNA". It matches the Rfam family "Bacterial small subunit ribosomal RNA", at positions 30 to 507 of the family's 1533-position model. The record is from RNAcentral.
AUUGAACGCUGGCGGCAGGCCUAACACAUGCAAGUCGAGCGGAUGAAGGGAGCUUGCUCCUGGAUUCAGCGGCGGACGGGUGAGUAAUGCCUAGGAAUCUGCCUGGCAGUGGGGGAUAACGUCCGGAAACGGGCGCUAAUACCGCAUACGUCCUGAGGGAGAAAGGGGGGGAUCUUCGGACCUCACGCUAUCAGAUGAGCCUAGGUCGGAUUAGCUAGUUGGUGGGGUAAAGGCCUACCAAGGCGACGAUCCGUAACUGGUCUGAGAGGAUGAUCAGUCACACUGGAACUGAGACACGGUCCAGACUCCUACGGGAGGCAGCAGUGGGGAAUAUUGGACAAUGGGCGAAAGCCUGAUCCAGCCAUGCCGCGUGUGUGAAGAAGGUCUUCGGAUUGUAAAGCACUUUUAGUUGGGAGGAAGGGCAGUAAGUUAAUACCUUGCUGUUUUGACGGUACCCACAGAAUAAGCACCGGCUAACUUCGUG